GCUUCCUUGGCUCAGUUGGUAGAGCGUUGGUCUCAUAUCUCGAGUAUGAGUAAUCAAAUAUCUUGGUUACGCAAUCCAAAGGUCGUGAGUUCGAGCCUCACAGGGAGCA
Rhizoctonia solani AG-1 IA is the source of this 109-nucleotide transfer RNA. It matches the Rfam family "tRNA". From Rfam's summary of the family: Transfer RNA (tRNA) molecules are approximately 80 nucleotides in length. Their secondary structure includes four short double-helical elements and three loops (D, anti-codon, and T loops). The record is from Rfam. NCBI's taxonomy places the organism in Eukaryota, Fungi, Basidiomycota, Agaricomycetes, Cantharellales, Ceratobasidiaceae.